AGAGUUUGAUCCUGGCUCAGGAUGAACGCUGGCGGCGUGCUUAACACAUGCAAGUCGAACGAACCUUCGGGUUAGUGGCGGACGGGUGAGUAACGCGUGAGAAUCUGCCCUCAGGAGGGGGAUAACAGUUGGAAACGACUGCUAAUACCCCAUAUACCGAGAGGUGAAAUGAAUUUCGCCUGGGGAUGAGCUCGCGUCUGAUUAGCUUGUUGGUGGGGUAACGGCCUACCAAGGCUUCGAUCAGUAGCUGGUCUGAGAGGACGAUCAGCCACACUGGGACUGAGACACGGCCCAGACUCCUACGGGAGGCAGCAGUGGGGAAUUUUCCGCAAUGGGCGAAAGCCUGACGGAGCAACGCCGCGUGAGGGACGAAGGCCUUUGGGCUGUAAACCUCUUUUCUCAAGGAAGAAGAUCUGACGGUACUUGAGGAAUAAGCCACGGCUAAUUCCGUGCCAGCAGCCGCGGUAAUACGGGAGUGGCAAGCGUUAUCCGGAAUUAUUGGGCGUAAAGCGUCCGCAGGCGGCCGUUUAAGUCUGUUGUUAAAUCGUGGAGCUCAACUCCAUCACGGCAAUGGAAACUGUUCGGCUUGAGUAUGGUAGGGGCAGAGGGAAUUUCCGGUGUAGCGGUGAAAUGCGUAGAUAUCGGGAAGAACACCAGUGGCAAAAGCGCUCUGCUGGGCCAUUACUGACGCUCAUGGACGAAAGCCAGGGGAGCGAAAGGGAUUAGAUACCCCUGUAGUCCUGGCCGUAAACGAUGAACACUAGAUGUUGGGGGAAUCGACCCCCUCGGUGUCGUAGCUAACGCGUUAAGUGUUCCGCCUGGGGAGUACGCACGCAAGUGUGAAACUCAAAGGAAUUGACGGGGGCCCGCACAAGCAGCGGAGCGUGUGGUUCAAUUCGAUGCAACGCGAAGAACCUUACCUGGGCUUGACAUGCACUGGACCGCCGAUGAAAGUCGGUUUCCCUUCGGGGCCGGUGCACAGGUGCUGCAUGGCUGUCGUCAGCUCGUG
This 1009-nucleotide ribosomal RNA is filed under the name uncultured bacterium. RNAcentral describes it as "bacterial SSU rRNA". It matches the Rfam family "Bacterial small subunit ribosomal RNA", at positions 8 to 1064 of the family's 1533-position model. The record is from RNAcentral.